CCUACGGGGGGCAGCAGUGGGGAAUAUUGGACAAUGGGCGAAAGCCUGAUCCAGCCAUGCCGCGUGUGUGAAGAAGGCCUUCGGGUUGUAAAGCACUUUCAGUGGGGAAGAAAGCCUUGGGGCUAAUACCCUCGAGGAAGGACAUCACCCACAGAAGAAGCACCGGCUAACUCCGUGCCAGCAGCCGCGGUAAUACGGAGGGUGCGAGCGUUAAUCGGAAUUACGGGGCGUAAAGCGCGCGUAGGCGGUCUGAUAAGCCGGUUGUGAAAGCCCCGGGCUCAACCUGGGAACGGCAUCCGGAACUGUCAGGCUAGAGUGCAGGAGAGGAAGGUAGAAUUCCCGGUGUAGCAGUGAAAUGCGUAGAGAUCGGGAGGAAUACCAGUGGCGAAGGCGGCCUUCUGGACUGACACUGACGCUGAGGUGCGAAAGCGUGGGUAGCAAACAGGAUUAGAUACCCCAGUAGUC
RNAcentral lists this ribosomal RNA (465 nucleotides) under Vreelandella stevensii. RNAcentral's name for it is "partial 16S ribosomal RNA". It matches the Rfam family "Bacterial small subunit ribosomal RNA", at positions 338 to 795 of the family's 1533-position model. Lineage: Bacteria; Pseudomonadati; Pseudomonadota; Gammaproteobacteria; Oceanospirillales; Halomonadaceae. The record is from RNAcentral.